CGGUUGGCGGAUUGGACUUGGAUGCUGCUGGGGUUCAUUCCUCGGCUCGUCUCAAAUGCAGCAGUCGAUUCACUCGACCCAGCCGCUCGGUGUGAUAAUUACAUCUACGCCGGGCUUGGGGAAGAGCGGCUUCAAACCGUCUUCGGACAACUUUCAUCGCAUCUGACCUCAAAUCAGGUAGGACUACCCGCUGAACUUAA
Molecule: unclassified non-coding RNA, 200 nt
Filed under: soil metagenome
Description: partial contains internal transcribed spacer 2 and large subunit ribosomal RNA
Source: RNAcentral